This 455-nucleotide long non-coding RNA is filed under the name Anser brachyrhynchus (Pink-footed goose). RNAcentral's name for it is "lncRNA (ENSABRG00000004960.1)". The record is from RNAcentral. Lineage: Eukaryota; Metazoa; Chordata; Aves; Anseriformes; Anatidae.
AUCAAAGAGGAUUUUUCUGGCUGUAGACUUCACUGGGCUUACAUCUAUUUACCUAUUAAACCCAGUGCAGGUACUUGGUGCAGGGUUUCUUCCGUCUUCCAUCACCACUCCUUAAGCAAGAAGUAGCAAGUUAUCCUGGCUGAUGCAGUGAAAUAGCUGAAGGGCAGGAACAUGACUACAUCCAAUCCUCGGCCAUCAGCUCUUUGCCUGGAGGUGACAGGGAGUAGAAGAGAUUCUGAAAAUCUGUCAAUUAUAAGCAUGCAUUUUGGGACAACUGUGAGAACAAGCCUGUGCUAAGUGUUUGAUCAGAAAAAAACGUGAGAGGCUGUGUUGAAGUUAAGACUGACUGCACAUGCACGCAUUUCCAUUGUGGAUCUACUGACCAUCAGGUAACAAUUUCUCAUCAGUAAAGAACAGUUCUUGCGAAUAAUCUUGAUCAUACAGUUGUUGUAGUU